Molecule: ribosomal RNA, 465 nt
Filed under: Vreelandella stevensii
Lineage: Bacteria; Pseudomonadati; Pseudomonadota; Gammaproteobacteria; Oceanospirillales; Halomonadaceae
Description: partial 16S ribosomal RNA
Rfam family: Bacterial small subunit ribosomal RNA
Source: RNAcentral
CCUACGGGGUGCAGCAGUGGGGAAUAUUGGACAAUGGGCGAAAGCCUGAUCCAGCCAUGCCGCGUGUGUGAAGAAGGCCUUCGGGUUGUAAAGCACUUUCAGUGGGGAAGAAAGCCUUGGGGCUAAUACCCUCGAGGAAGGACAUCACCCACAGAAGAAGCACCGGCUAACUCCGUGCCAGCAGCCGCGGUAAUACGGAGGGUGCGAGCGUUAAUCGGAAUUACUGGGCGUAAAGCGCGCGUAGGCGGUCUGAUAAGCCGGUUGUGAAAGCCCCGGGCUCAACCUGGGAACGGCAUCCGGAACUGUCAGGCUAGAGUGCAGGAGAGGAAAGUAGAAUUCCCGGUGUAGCGGUGAAAUGCGUAGAGAUCGGGAGGAAUACCAGUGGCGAAGGCGGCCUUCUGGACUGACACUGACGCUGAGGUGCGAAAGCGUGGGUAGCAAACAGGAUUAGAUACCCGUGUAGUC